Molecule: long non-coding RNA, 7559 nt
Filed under: Malus domestica (apple)
Lineage: Eukaryota; Viridiplantae; Streptophyta; Magnoliopsida; Rosales; Rosaceae
Description: long non-coding RNA (MDOM_LNC015607)
Source: RNAcentral
UUCCAUUUUUUUAUUUUUGUUAUUUGUUCUUAAGUCCCAAAAGGCCUUUAAGGCCGGUUUCAGUUAAAAGGCUUAAAGCCCAUCCCUCUUUGCAAUAAGUCAUUCGAGUCGUGUGUGUGUAUGUGUGGGUCUGGUGAUAGGAGCAUAUUUAUGUGACUUAGUUAGCUUAUUUUCUUGCAUUUUCAUAGCUAGUUUCUACUUAUUAUAGUGUUUUAAGCUAUUUUCGUGUGUUUGUAGGUCCAAAUAACAAAGUUGGCAAGAAAGUACAUUUUGGAGCAUUUUAGAGCAGUUUUGGGCUGGAAUGGAUAGCUUACAUAUGGAGCACAAGGAAUGGACGAAUUUGAAGUUCAAGAGAGGCUAGAAAUGUGCUAAAGAGUUGAAGAAAUUAAUUCAAGACAUUGAAGAUAAGGAAUCAGCUCAAAAGAAGGAAACGUUAUCCAAAAUCUUAUCCAACCCUAUCUUAUCCAAACUAACCUUAUCUUAUCUUAUCAUAUCUUAAUUCCAACUGCAAGGGGGGGAUCAAUUACACAUUAAAUCACCUAAAUACCCAUUUCUAGAAGCCUUACCACCUGCCCUAGAUUGGUGCCGCACCUUUUAUUGCUUUUCUUCUAGAAAUCUGCCAGAUAUUCCAUUCUAGAAGCUUUGGCCGAAUUUCCUAGUCCUUUUUCCCUAGGAUUGUGUAAUCCUUUUCCUCCACUACUUUGCGCAAAACCCUAUCCUAUAAAUACAUAUUUUCUGCCACAAAUCAAACCACCACCCCCAUAUUCAUUCUACACCACAAUUCACGCCAAUUUCUCAGAGAUUCAUCAAGUAACGCAGCAAGGAAGGAAGAAUGAGCUUUGUCUCGUGGCUUGCAAUCCAAUGAGGGUUUCGAAUCUGCCAUUGGAGUUGCUGGGAUGUUCCUGGUUCUUUCUAUCUUUAAAUUUGUUUCAAUGUUGGUUUUUGUUGAUGCACAAAAUCAGCGAAGACUUUGGUACAACAGAAAGUGUCAGGUUUUGUGACCUUCGCUUGGUUGCUUCGGUCACUAGUGAGGAUAAGUACGUAAAUGAAUAGAGACAGAGAAGCAAACACAGGAUGUACGUGGUUCACCCAGAUUGGCUACGUCUACGGAGUAGAGGAGUUCUUAUUAGUAGUGAAGGGCUUACACAAGUACAAAGGAUCAAGCUCUCAAUUUAGUGAGUUCUUGUGAAUGAUUUAACACAAAUGGCAUUAGGCCAUAUUGUGGGGGAAUGACCCCUAUUUAUAGAAAAACUUGUAGCUUUGUCACAUUGACAUGUGUCAUGUUAUGAUUGGUUCUUGAUGUCGACACGUGCUGCGCUCUGAUUGGCUUCUAAUCUUGACACGUGUCGAGUAGUGAUUGGCCUCCUGGUCGGAGGGGAACUCUUCUGGGUCCUUGACAGUAUAGCGUUGGCCGGUGCUCGGUAGUUUCGGGAUUGGUCAAGUAUGGUACAAACAGUGCUCCCCUAAGUUCCCGAGUGAGGGAAACUCCUCGGUUGGGGACUUGCAAGAUCCAAUCCCUUGAGUAAUCACGAAACUUCUAAGUACCGAAGUGUGGUCUGAUCUUCAUCUGCCCUUCUCUGGAAGUACCUUUCCUCCAUCCGGGAAUGGUGUAUUUAGCUGAUGAAGAUGCACAAGGUAAUGUAUCAAUUUCACUUUGAAGCUUACUUGUAGUUUCGGGCUUGGUCAAGUGCGAUACAAACCCUAUAGUAGGAGUCCCCCAAGUCGCCGAGCUAGGAGAUCUGCCGAAAAGAGGUGACAGACAAGGUAAGCAGUCAAACUUCCAAGUAAGCAACCCAGGAUCAGAGGUUUGACUUCGGCUUCCGGUUGAUUGUUCUCCUUCUCCUUGUCUCUCAUUCAACUGCCAGGAUAAGGAGAAGCAAAUGGAUAAGAGAUGAUAUGAGAUACUUUUGCUUUUGAAGAAGUAACUUUCCACAGGCUUAUUCUUGAACUGUGCUGGAGGGUUUUCUGGUGCCCUUCAAAGUAUAAGGCCGACUCAAAAAUUUGAGGGUCAAAACAAGUCCAUCAAAUCUAGAAUACGUUCGACCUUGAUGAUAUGGGAUACUUUUGCUGUUGACGGAAUAAUGAAUGUGGUAUGGAAAGGUGUCGUGCUGUAGUGAUCUGUUUCAGCUCACCGUUGAACCUUCUGCUUCAAUCUUUUGCAUGGCAGAAGUGGUGUGCAACCUUUGCAUUUAAAUGGUCCUUCAGAACAUUCCUUCAUAGUGACUCAUCUACGCUUGGCAGCUUCAGUGUAAAGAGCCAAUAUCUGAUCAACUGUCAUGAGGUAUUUGCUGGUGGAAUUCGUGACCUUGACAGCAGUUGAGGAUGAGUACUCGAGAGCAAUGCUAAGUAAGCAACCAGGCAAAGGCUCCAGGCAGUCAGUUCCAAAUUGGAGGUUUGAUUUCAGGUUCCGACUGACUGCUCUCUUUCUCCUUGUCCUGCAGGUGUGGACAAGGACAAAGACAAAGACAGGGAGAAAGCAUGAUAUGGGAUACUCUUGCUUUCGACCCUGAUGAUAUGAGAUACUCUUGUUCUUGGUGUGGCUUAUUUGCUGAGGUAUUAUCGGGGGGGAAAUAAAGCUGAGUAUUUCGAGAGGUUAUGUUGAGGGUGCCUUUUCGAAUGCGAGAAAGGGUUGAGCAUUUUUGCAGGUUUGCCUGUCCGUUGAGGAGGGGAGGUCAAUGUAUAUAGGGAUUUCCCAAUAACAAGUAGUAAUGCUAUUCCUUUACCCUUCUUGGUCACAGCAAUGUAGUGGGAGCUGCCAGCUUCACGUGUUUUAAUUUUGUCAGAGCACUUUGAAAAAGUGGUAUGUGGUAUCUGGAAAGCUGAUAUUACGUGUGAAGAUUACAGACAAGCUUUAUCUAAGGAAAUCUGGCUCUCGAAGUUCUGAGAGUUGUGCCUCUUCGAUUUUCGAACAAGCAAUCCCGUCGAGGAUCUGACUCUCGAGAUUCGGAAAGCGGUGCUACUCCGGUUUUUUGAGAAAGUAAUUAUGUUGGGAGUCUUUUCUCGAAUGUGAGUAAAGGUUGGACGUUCUUGCCAACCUGUCUUGCCGCAAAACACGGAGGUCGACACACAUAGGGACUUUCCAGUUGUCAAAGCAGUGGUGCUGUUCCUUUACCCUUAUGGGUAAUAGUAGGGUAGCUGGAACUUCGAAAUUCUCGUGCCUAAACUUUGUCAGAGAUCUUUGACAAAGUUAUAUGUGGUACCCGAGGAGUUGAUGGUGCAUAUGGAGAGCGGUGAUUGAACAGUAAGAUUCACGUGCUUUCUACUUCACCAGAAAUCUUCGACAGAUUGCCCGUAAUUUCCGCAAAGCUGAGUGUGCAUGUGACAGGUGCUGACGAGGCUGAAAAAGCAGGUGCUUCUUCGAUUUCUGAGAUCGGCCCUCGUGGUCUCUGAGCAGCCCAGCUUUUGAGAAAGCAAACGCCUCUUCGAUUUCUGAAGCUCCGUCGAGUGCAGAUUUUUAUAGAGGCUGGCAUUAAGUUCCACAGCACACUUGAAUCUCUACCAGUAGAAGCUCAUUUCUUGCACUUCUAAGAUCUUGAUUUGUCUGACCUCUUCCCUCUUCAACACAUUUGAAAAUGUUUGGACCCUCCGACCGUCGUUUUGACUUGAACCUUGGAGAAGAGACAGCCACGCCUUCUCCAGACAACAUAUGGCGCCCAUCAUUCAUAUCCCCUACUGGUCCUCUUACCGUUGGGGAUUCUGUGAUGAAGAAUGAUAUGACCGCUGCAGUGGUGGCCAGGAACCUUCUCACUCCCAAAGAUAACAGACUACUUUCCAAACGGUCUGAUGAGUUGGCUGUUAAGGACUCUCUGGCUCUUAGUGUUCAGUGUGCAGGUUCUGUGUCUAAUAUGGCCCAACGCCUAUUUGCUAGAACCCGCCAAGUUGAAUCAUUGGCUGCUGAAGUGAUGAGUCUCAAACAGGAGAUUAGAGGGCUCAAGCAUGAGAAUAAGCAGUUGCACCGGCUCGCCCAUGACUAUGCUACAAACAUGAGAGAGGAAGCUUGACCAGAUGAAGGAAUCUGAUGGUAAGGUUUUACUUGAUCAUCAGCGGUUUGUGGGUUUGUUCCAAAGGCAUUUAUUGCCUUCGUCCUCUGGGGCUGUACCUGGUAAUGAAGCUUCAAAUGAUGAACCUCCAAUGCCUCCUCCUUCUGGGGUUUUGUCAAGUACUGAGGCUCCGGAUAACCACCCUCCGGUGCUUUCUCUUUCUGGGGCUCUACCGACUGCUGAGACUUCCCCUAAGCAACCUUUGUGAAGGCUCCCUUUUGUUUGUUUAUUUUGACUCAUGUAUAUGUACAUAUUUGUGGCUUAUCGAUCGAAAAUAUUAAUAAAUAAGCUUUGCUUCAUUUCAACAUAUUGUGUUAAAUACACCAAAGCCUUCUUCAUAAAGUUCUUUGAAUUUUUGCUUUUGUUGAAACCUGUAUUGUUGAAGCUUUGUGAGUGAAGCAUGUAGUUUGAGGUAGUGUUCCCUUAAUUUCCCGAGUGAGGAAAACUUCUCGGUUGGAGACUUGAAAAAUCCAAGUCACUGAGUGGUUGUGAGACUGCCGAGUAUCAAGGUGCAGUAGCAUAUGGUGGGAGUCCCCCAAGUCUUCAGGCGAAGAGAGUUGCCGAAUGAGGUGUCUAGCUAGUAGUCAAUGUCAUGAGUAGGAAAACUUCACUUGUUUCUUUUCGAAGUGGUAACCCAGGGCUCUUUCUUCAUAUAUUGUUUUUUUUGUUAUGAAGAUGUGUUAGGCCCAAAGAAGUGGAGGCCUAGGCCCUUUUUUUUUUUUUUUUUUUUUUUUUUUUUUCCCUCCCUUUUUCUUUGGAAUGUUUGUACAGAUAUCUAUAAUGUGGCCUUUGUCAUGAUUUUGGAGGAUGGGUGUAUUCGAAUCCAAUGAGGGGUAGGGUAUGACUCAUUAUCAUGUGCCAUGAUUUUGUCUUCCUUUAGCUUUUCUUUUGCUUUGCUUUACCAUUUUUGCUUUCCUUUAGUCUGCCUUUAGCUUUUCUUCAAUAUAACACCAUUUUCUGUGGCUCAGAUCGCAAAACCAUCUUCAUGAAAGUUGUUCCUUAGCUCGUGAACUACAACAUAUCCGAAUUGGAGAUCCAUCGGAGCAGUACAACUCCAGAAAUUCAGGUAUGAUGAGUGAUUGUUCGUCAUUUGUAUAUCAACGCGUCAGACUUGUUGUGAGCUUCAAAAACUCCAUUUUCUCUUGCUCAGAUCAACAUACUUUCUUCAUCUAAGUUGUUCCUUAACUUGUGAACUACAACAUAUCCAAAAUUGAGAUCCCUCGGAGCUGUAUAACUCAAGAAAUUCAGGUAUGAUGAAUGACUGGUUAUUAUUUUUCUGUCAACCCGUCAGAUUUGUUGUGAGCUUCGAAACUCCAUUUUCUAUUGUUCAGAUCAGCAUGCUUUCUUCAUUGAAGUUGUUCCUCAUCGUCUCUUUCAUAACAUAUCAAAAAUUCAGAAUGAACUAAUGGUUAAAUAUUUCCAGAUCUUCGAAACAUCACAGCAGCUUCGAAAUCUGCAAGAAUCCGACUGUCAUGUUUGGAGCUUCAACACUUUAAUUUCCGUCGCUCAAACAGAAAUGGUUCCUUCUUGAAAGUUGUUCAUAUGCUCAAAAACGAUAGGGUGUCCAAAAUUCAGCUCCAUUGGAGAAGAGCAGAGGUUGAAGAAAUUUGAUAGAUGAAAGGAGGCGGAAGAGGGAGAGAGAGAAAAAGUCUCUUGGGUUGGAUUUCUAUUUUGGGGCAGAUUCCAAUUUUUGUAGCACCUUCAUUAUUGAUGAAUUGCUUGUACUUUUGUCCAUUAAGAAACCUGGGACUUUGGCUUGUUGUUGGAUCUAUUAUAAUAUGUUUGGGAACAUAUAUAAGUGAAUAAAUAAGAAGGAAGAUUUUGGGCCCUUGUGGGUGUAAAACAAAAAAUGUUUAUGUUUACCCAAGUGUUUUUGUACAAGUUCAAGGGCAUCUUGGGUUUUGUGAAUAAAAUUUGUUUAUUUGGAGCAAGGUUUUGUGUUGAAGCUUUGUAGGUGAAGCUUUGGUGUUGAAGCUUUCUAGGUGAAGCUUUGAUGGUGAAGCUUUGAUGGUGAAAGUAUGUAGAGGGAGCUUUCUAGGUGAAGCUUUUUUAGGUGAAGCUUUGUAGGUGAAGCUUUUUGAAGUGAAGCUUUUCGGGUGAAGUUUUUUGGGUGAAGCUUUGUGGGUGAAGCUUUUUAGGUGAAGCUUUGUGGGUGAAGCUUUUUUAGGUGAAGCUUUUUGGGUGAAGCUUUUUGGAGGUGAAGUUUUUUUUUUUGGGUGAAGCUUUUUUAGGUGAAGCUUUUUGGGUGAAACUUUUUGGAUGAAGCUUUUUGGGUGAAGUUUUGUAGGUGAAGCUUUUCGGGUGAAGCUUUUUGGAUGAAGCUGUUUUUUUUUUUUUUUUUUUUUUUUUUUUUUUUUUUUUUUUUUUGGCGCUUGACACGGUCUUCAUUUGCUUGUUUUGUAGUGACUGUGGAAGACGGAUUGCUUUCUGAUUGAGAAGGGUUCCGGCAUCGCUUUGCACCAUCUUCAUGUGGGUAAUAUAGGAACUUCCUUAUGUUUUGAUCAUGCAUGUGAUUUUUCCCUGGACUCGUUGUACUGGCUUCCAGGGUAUGUCUGUCGGAACACCUCUGAGUCCCCUGUACCCUCAUGUCUCUCUAGGACUUGUUGCCCCUUCCCCAAAUUGGUGGCCGGCUUGGGCCGUGGCAGGGGACCGAGUCUCUCCGAAAUCCUUGGGUCAUUAAUCUUUGAGCUUAUAUGGAUGGAAUUCUCUCGACGUUGCUUCAGGAAAUCCCGACAAUCGCGAAAGACGGCUUUCGAUCCUUCUGCCCCUUCAGCAAAGAGGUGUCUCCCUCCAAUUCUCAUGGUUCGGGUCGAAGCAACUGGGUUAAGAGAAGCCUCAUGUUGAUUAUCAAGUCGAGGGGUAAUCUGUUCCCUAUCAGGGAUAUCUAUGUCGAAUGCAUGUGACCCUCCAUGUUGGAGGGCACCCAGUUGAUGGUUGACUUCCACGGGGGCAACAAGCUCGCGUGUCUGAGCUUGCCUAGCUUCGUGGAGUGUCUCGAAGAGCUUCUCAUAUUGCUCCUGGAGGGACCUCAUUCCUCAUUGCUAUCUUGUUGUUCUGAGCUUCCAACUCAUCGACUUUAGCUUGAAGAAGAACUCGUUUUCCUUCCUUCUUUCGUUGUUUCGCACUAUGUGCAAAGGCGGUGUCAUUCUGUGUGCUGUGGCUUCCUUCGCUUCCCAUGUUGGAGAGGGAUGCCUGAUCAAAAGAAAGUGUACGAAUGAUAGAAACCAGCUUGACACAGCUGAAGAGAGUAGGAAUAAGUGUCGUUUCCCACAGACGGCGCCAAAUGUUGAUGCACAAAAUCAGCGAAGACUUUGGUACAACAGAAAGUGUCAGGUUUUGUGACCUUCGCUUGGUUGCUUUGGUCACUAGUGAGGAUAAGUACGUAAAUGAAUAGAGACAGAGAAGCAAACACAGGAUGUACGUGGUUCACCCAGAUUGGCUACGUCUACGGAGUAGAGGAGUUCUUAUUAGUAGUGAAGGGCUUACACAAGUACAAAGGAUCAAGCUCUCAAUUUAGUG